AGACGUUUGUAGUCCUGGCUCAGGAUGAACGCCUGGCGGCGUGCUUAACACAUGCAAGUCGAGCGGAGCGACAUCGUUGGAAGCCUUCGGGAGGAAGAAGGUGUGGCUUAGCGGCGACGGGUGAGUAACGCGUGGACAACCUGCCCUAUGCAGGGGAUAACAUCCGGAAACGGGUGCUAAUACCGCAUAAGCGCACAGUACCGCAUGGUACGGUGUGAAAAGCUGAGGCGGCAUAGGAUGGGUCCGCGUUGGAUUAGGCAGUUGCGGGGUAACGGCCCACCAACCGACGAUCCAUAGCCGGCCUGAGAGGGUGGACGGCCACAUUGGGACUGAGACACGGCCCAGACUCCUACGGGAGGCAGCAGUGGGGAAUAUUGCACAAUGGGGGGAACCCUGAUGCAGCGACGCCGCGUGGGUGAGGAAGUACUUCGGUAUGUAAAGCCCUAUCAGCAGGGAAGAAGAUGACGGUACCUGACUAAGAAGCCCCGGCUAACUACGUG
RNAcentral lists this ribosomal RNA (500 nucleotides) under uncultured Marvinbryantia sp. Its description in RNAcentral is "bacterial SSU rRNA". It matches the Rfam family "Bacterial small subunit ribosomal RNA", at positions 1 to 507 of the family's 1533-position model. Lineage: Bacteria; Bacillati; Bacillota; Clostridia; Lachnospirales; Lachnospiraceae. The record is from RNAcentral.